This 119-nucleotide ribosomal RNA is filed under the name Helianthus annuus (common sunflower). Lineage: Eukaryota; Viridiplantae; Streptophyta; Magnoliopsida; Asterales; Asteraceae. The record is from RNAcentral.
GGUUGCGAUCAUACCAGCACUAAUGCACCAGAUCCCAUCAGAACUCCGCAGUUAAGCGUGCUUGGGCGAGAGUAGUACUAGGAUAGGUGACCCCCUGGGAAGUCCUCGUGUUGCAACCC